GAAAGCAAUAAAUUAUGACAAUGUUAAAAUAUUUUUCUGGUCUUUCAGUUAACUUCGUUUGGGGCUGUAGAACCUUUUCUGCUUGCCUUGAGAGGGUAAUUACGCUCCGUGGGCUCUUUCCCAAACCUUUGGUGACGACACUGCAUGUAAACUCCAGGCCAACAGACGACCCCUCCCCUCCCCUCCUCCCACUUUUUAUCUUGCCGGCGGAGGAGACUCCCCAGUACUUCCUGCAGUAUAUAUUCUGCCUCUGAUCUCCGUACUUAAUAGCCAAGUCCUGGUUUAUGCUUUAUAAUGUGUUGACAAGUUUUCUAACAGACUUUCUGAAAUAAUGCACAUAUAUUCACGUCGGUUAGAAACCCACCGUAUUUUUAGAGUCGAGUAGAUCUAUACCCUAAUGCAGCGAGAGAGUGUAAAUCAUAGAGGAUUUCAUAGUCCUUUCAGUAGUUUUCGGUAUGAAGUAUGAGCCGCGUGGCCUCCAGACGUAACCUUUUAGAAAAAAAGACAGUGCUUUUAUUUUAUGGUGUAAAGUGCUUUUAGCUCCAGGGCUCUGAACGUGAAUGUGGUCAACAAACAGCUCGAAGAGGGAGACUUAAUACAGCCCCAGCCCUCGUGCGGAGGAUCUCCUGGCGCUGGGGACUCGGGCUGAGCUGGAGAAUGAAGGGUUAAAAGGUCUGUCUCGAUGGAAACUACAAGAUUAAAAUAAAAUAUUCACUUUCU
RNAcentral lists this long non-coding RNA (720 nucleotides) under Marmota monax (woodchuck). The record is from RNAcentral. Lineage: Eukaryota; Metazoa; Chordata; Mammalia; Rodentia; Sciuridae.